Molecule: long non-coding RNA, 888 nt
Filed under: Apteryx rowi (Okarito brown kiwi)
Lineage: Eukaryota; Metazoa; Chordata; Aves; Apterygiformes; Apterygidae
Description: lncRNA (ENSARWG00000017344.1)
Source: RNAcentral
CCGGGAGCCGCGGGCGGCCUCGGGCUGAGGCGGCUGUCGGGGGGUUCGGCCGCCCCGCCCUGCCCCCCAGGUUGAAGACGCCUUCCAGACCUUGACAGCAGGCUAAAGGCCGCGGGAAGACCUCAAGGCCUUGUGGCUAACAUGGAGCUACGAUGGCUGCUCAGUUAAAUAAUUCUUCUGACCUGGACAAAAGAUCAUAUCUUCCCUAGUCUUUUUUUUUUUUUAAUAUAAAUUAUUGAGCCAUCUUAAGUUAAUAAUUAAAACUGCAGCAUAUAUCCUGUAUGGGAAAUACUACCCCAAAUGACUAAUAUUUGACAAGAUUACAAGCAACUGAGGGAAAGGUUUUCAGCUGCGGAGCUUUUGAACCACAAUGGGUUGGCUGCACAAUGCCUGAGAAAGAGGCCUCUUGACACUCCCCAAAAACACGGUGUGGGGUGUCCUUGCCUCCUCCAAGCCCAAGCUAGCACUGCAGCCCUACCCCAUAGCAGCCUCUAGUGAUUUUGAAGAGAACUAACAAGAUCCCAGCAAGCAGCCAUGGACCAUUAAAAAACAACUUGGAUUUUCCACCCCAGCUAGAAGGCGCCUUGGUGGAGCCACGUUUCUCCUAGCAACUCGUACCAGACCACGAAUCUUGCCAGAGUUUUCAAUGGUUUCCAACUCUCAAAAUUUGCUUUGACUGUUGGAUUCCGAUUGUCACAAAGUAUCAGCAAGCAAGAAGUAACUGUAAAACAGUAAAAACAGUCUUGAAGACAGAACUGAGUCUUCCUGGUCACUUGGAAACUGCACAGUAUACAUAGUAUACUGGGUCUGAGAUCCUGAGCCACACCGAAUCUGUGGAAGUAGUCCUGGUAAUCCUUGGAGAAUACUGUUUCCUCUCCUUUCGUAUCG